RNAcentral lists this ribosomal RNA (479 nucleotides) under uncultured bacterium. Its description in RNAcentral is "bacterial SSU rRNA". It matches the Rfam family "Bacterial small subunit ribosomal RNA", at positions 50 to 518 of the family's 1533-position model. The record is from RNAcentral.
AACACAUGCAAGUCGAACGGUAACAGGAAGAAGCUUGCUCUUGCUGACGAGUGGCGGACGGGUGAGUAAUGUCUGGGAAACUGCCUGAUGGAGGGGGAUAACUACUGGAAACGGUAGCUAAUACCGCAUAACGUCGCAAGGACCAAAGAGGGGGACCUUCGGGCCUCUUGCCAUCGGAUGUGCCCAGAUGGGAUUAGCUUGUUGGUGGGUAACGGCUCACCAAGGCGACGAUCCCUAGCUGGUCUGAGAGGAUGACCAGCCACACUGGAACUGAGACACGGUCCAGACUCCUACGGGAGGCAGCAGUGGGGAAUAUUGCACAAUGGGCGCAAGCCUGAUGCAGCCAUGCCCGCGUGUAUGAAGAAGGCCUUCGGGUUGUAAAAUACUUUCAGCGGGGAGGAAGGGAGUAAAGUUAAUACCUUUGCUCAUUGACCGUUACCCGCAGAAGAAGCACCGGCUAACUCCGUGCCAGCCGCCGC